AAACUAAUAGCUUUUAAAAAAUCGUAAUCCAUUACAGGAAUUUUGUUUUCCGUGUAGUCUAAUUACAGGCUGUUGGAACCAUUACCGUAAUUUGCUGGGAAGCAGGAAUGAAUAUUUGAGAAGGCGAUAGAAUGUCCAUAGAAAAGGGGAAGCCCCUCGGCACCAAAGAAUCGGAACCUCAAUCUGAGAAGGCAUUCACCACCAUUGUUAAACCGACAAUCGACAAUCGAUCAAUGGUGAAUGAAAUCCACAAUGGCUCUUAUCAACCGUAAGUAGUUCGGAUAUGGUGAGGUGAGGAUGACGCUAUAACAUUACUAUAUAUAGUAAAACAGUAACAAUGAUUGAAACCAUUAAUUAAUUAAUGAAAAUAUUAUUAACUAAAUGUCGCAAU
Danaus plexippus (monarch butterfly) is the source of this 391-nucleotide long non-coding RNA. RefSeq lists it as uncharacterized. The transcript is spliced from 3 exons. NCBI's taxonomy places the organism in Eukaryota, Metazoa, Arthropoda, Insecta, Lepidoptera, Nymphalidae. The record is from RefSeq and is a predicted model, not a curated record.